GUGAAAAAUAUUACUUCAUUACUAAAGUUGGAAUUGAAAUAAAAAAGAAAUAUAUGAUAAAUAUGGAGUUAUUUGUUCGAGUUAUGGGGAAGGGGUAGGACCAUAUGUGUAGGCUGUACUUCUUCCUACUCCUUUUUGGACAUGUAAUAUUUAUUUAUGUUGAUAAUUUGUUUAUUGACAGUUUGCAAUAUGUUUACUAUUAAUUUUAUUCGUUAUUCUUGUUUUGUUUUACACUUAUUUUUUACUUGU
Long non-coding RNA from Sebastes umbrosus (honeycomb rockfish), 249 nucleotides. RefSeq lists it as uncharacterized. The transcript is spliced from 3 exons. Lineage: Eukaryota; Metazoa; Chordata; Actinopteri; Perciformes; Sebastidae. The record is from RefSeq and is a predicted model, not a curated record.